CUUGUCAGCAGGUGGGAGAAGUUUGAGCUGGAGCAUCUACUCCUCAGGCCUUAAGGGAUUUUAUCCCUAUACUGCCCCCCUGAGUUCACAAAAGCAGCAGGGCAGCUCAGACUCAGUGGAGCCUUGAGCCCAAGCACGAUCAGGCUGUGGUGUCAACUCCAUCAUACAGACCAGGAAAUGGGGUCCCAGGAGAGUCAAAGUCACCCAGCAGACCUGGGCUCUGCCUCUAACCAGCUCUGGGGUGGGCCCUGGACACACUGCUUUGGGUCUCAGGGCGCAGCCUCCUGGACGUGAGGAUGAUGGGUACGUACAGGGUGCUGCGAGGGUCAGGAGUCAACAGGGACAGCCCCAGACCAGCUCCCUGAUGGUGGCUGUCGUCUCGUCACCAAAUCUCUUCCUCCCCUCAGGGCUGGUAUCUGAUUAUUCCCUGUGCUGGGCUGGACAGUGUUCCCCAAAGAUGCCCCAAUUCCCCCAGAAUCCACAAAUAUGCUAUUUUACACAACAAAAGGGACUUUGCAGACAUGAUAAAGUUACAGGCCAUAGGUUGGGGAGAUUAUCCAGGAUUAUCCAGAUGGGCCCAUUGUAAUCAUGCUGAGCCCUUAAAAGAGGAGGAGGAAGGCAGAGAGUGUCGGAGAAUUAGGAGGACAGAAAAGAGGCAGAAGCUUGCAAGAGGGAGACUGAGCCAGGCACUGCUGGCUUUGCUGAUGGAGGAAGCAGCCUCGGGCCCGGCCGACAGCCAGCAAGGAAACGAGGCCUCAGUCCUACCAUCGCGAGGAGCUGGAUUCUGCCAACAAGCCGAAUGAGCCAGGAAAGUGGAUUCUGCCUCGGAACCUACUGGACUUCCAACUACUGUGAACUGCGAGCUAAUACAUCCGUUCUGGUUUAAGCCUGUAAACGUGUGGUCAUUUGUUAUGGGAGCAGUAGAAAAUGAGGCCCUCCCCCACCUCCUUUUCCACUGGGGAUGAGGGUCGGCCCUCAUCUUGGCCUUGAGUUGGUUCACAGCGUGGGGCUCCCACCCCUGCUGCCCUGGAUCAGCGUGCAUGCUCACUCCAGCUGGAAGACAGGCCAGCAGGACCAUGGAGCCCUGCAGAGGCCAGGCUCCCUUGGCUUUGUGCCCAAAACAAAGCUCUAGAUAUGAGUGUACUUAAAAAAAAAAGUCAAGUGCUGACCCACUUUUUCAUGACUGCUCUGGCUCAGACAGGUCCCUCUGAAAGGAAAUUCACUUCCCGUACACACUGUUCCCAGGACUGACAUCACCCACCUCAGCUGGGAGGAGCAGCAAUACUUAGGAGAGCUCUCAGGGGCUGGUGUCCAACAUCUGAUAAUGUAGCAAAGUCCUGCAAAAAGCUGUUGCUUUUUUUUUUUUAAACUGCGUCAGCCUGGCCAUGGCAGGGCUGGGAGUUUGGCCUGAGUUAGAAUCUCCAGCAAAGAGAAAUGCAUGUGGUGUUUGAGCCCCAGUGCUCCAGCCUUCCUGCACAAACCCCCUGGGAGACCACAGCUGUGGUCUGGCCUGGCUUCUGG
Molecule: long non-coding RNA, 1521 nt
Organism: Bubalus bubalis (water buffalo)
Lineage: Eukaryota; Metazoa; Chordata; Mammalia; Artiodactyla; Bovidae
Exons: 3
Source: RefSeq, a predicted model, not a curated record